AUUAAAAUGACAGAAAAAUGUGAAGAAUUUAAAUUUCUUUAAUGCUUUAAGCUUUUAAUA
This 60-nucleotide transfer RNA is filed under the name Euseius nicholsi. RNAcentral's name for it is "tRNA-Leu". The record is from RNAcentral. Lineage: Eukaryota; Metazoa; Arthropoda; Arachnida; Mesostigmata; Phytoseiidae.